This 73-nucleotide transfer RNA is filed under the name Mesocricetus auratus (golden hamster). It matches the Rfam family "tRNA". Rfam says of the family: Transfer RNA (tRNA) molecules are approximately 80 nucleotides in length. Their secondary structure includes four short double-helical elements and three loops (D, anti-codon, and T loops). The record is from Rfam by way of RNAcentral. Lineage: Eukaryota; Metazoa; Chordata; Mammalia; Rodentia; Cricetidae.
AGGGGUGUAGCUCAAUUGGUAGAGUGCCUGCCUGGCUUGCACAAAGCUCUGGGUUCUAUUCCCAGUACUUCAU